This is a long non-coding RNA of Sebastes umbrosus (honeycomb rockfish), 212 nucleotides long. RefSeq lists it as uncharacterized. The transcript is spliced from 3 exons. Lineage: Eukaryota; Metazoa; Chordata; Actinopteri; Perciformes; Sebastidae. The record is from RefSeq and is a predicted model, not a curated record.
AUAUUGUUUCUUAUUUUGUGUCUUGUAUUGCUAUAAUCCUAUGUAUGUAUAUGGUUCCUAUUGUAACUUGUCCCUCCAACUGCACCAUGCCUUUAAUAUGUUUCCUUUGACUUAACUAAUUAUUGGUUGUCUGUUGUAUGUAUGGAUGUGUGGACUGGGAAUGCUACAAAUGAAUUGCCCCCUUGGGGAUAAAUAAACUCAACUUUUCAUGU